CUAGUUUAAAUAAAACAAUAACUUGUGGAGUUAUAAUAUCUAACAUAAAAAACAUAUUUA
RNAcentral lists this transfer RNA (60 nucleotides) under Corythalia opima. RNAcentral's name for it is "tRNA-His". The record is from RNAcentral. Lineage: Eukaryota; Metazoa; Arthropoda; Arachnida; Araneae; Salticidae.